GAUGAACGCUGGCGGCGUGCCUAAUACAUGCAAGUAGAACGCUGAAGGAGGAGCUUGCUCUUCUGGAUGAGUUGCGAACGGGUGAGUAACGCGUAGGUAACCUGCCUGGUAGCGGGGGAUAACUAUUGGAAACGAUAGCUAAUACCGCAUGACAACAGUUAUUGCAUGAUAACUGUUUAAAAGGGGCAACUGCUCCACUACCAGAUGGACCUGCAUUGUAUUAGCUAGUUGGUGAGGUAAUGGCUCACCAAGGCGACGAUACAUAGCCGACCUGAGAGGGGGAUCGGCCACACUGGGACUGAGACACGGCCCAGACUCCUACGGGAGGCAGCAGUAGGGAAUCUUCGGCAAUGGACGGAAGUCUGACCGAGCAACGCCGCGUGAGUGAAGAAGGUUUUCGGAUCGUAAAGCUCUGUUGUAAGAGAAGAACGAGUGUGAGAGUGGAAAGUUCACACUGUGACGGUAUCUUACCAGAAAGGGACGGCUAACUACGUG
This 495-nucleotide ribosomal RNA is filed under the name uncultured bacterium. RNAcentral's name for it is "partial 16S ribosomal RNA". It matches the Rfam family "Bacterial small subunit ribosomal RNA", at positions 28 to 507 of the family's 1533-position model. The record is from RNAcentral.